Molecule: long non-coding RNA, 934 nt
Filed under: Homo sapiens (human)
Lineage: Eukaryota; Metazoa; Chordata; Mammalia; Primates; Hominidae
Description: non-protein coding lnc-GPR135-3:1
Source: RNAcentral
AUGGCCAGCCACCUCAUGCUCAACAAUGGCACCAAGAUGGCCAUCCUGGGACUGGGCAUCUGAAUGUCCCCUCCAGGCCAGGUGACCAAGGCUGUGAAGGUGGCGAUUGAUAUCAGGUACCGCCACAUCCACUGAGCCCAGGUACGAGAAUGAGAAUGAGAUAGGGGUGGCCAUUCAGGAGAAGCUCAGGGGGCAGAUGGUGAAGCGUGAGGAGCUCUUCAUCAUCAGCAAACUCUGGUGCACAUACCAUGGGAAGGGCCUGGUGAAAGGAGCCUGUCAGAAGAUGCUCAGUGACCUUAAGCAGGGCUACCUGGACUACUACCUUGUUCACUGGCCAGCCAGCUUUAAGCGUGGGAAGGAAUCCUUCCCAUUGGAUGAGUCAGGCAACAUGGUUCCCAGUGACACUGACAUUGUGGACACACGGGUGGCCAUGAAGAGCUGGUGGAUGAAGGGCUGGUGAAAGCUACUGGCAUCUCCACCUUCAACCAUCUCCAGGUUGAGAGGAUCUUAAACAAACCUGGGUUAAAGUAUAAGCCAGCAGUUAACCAAAUGGAGUGCCACCUGUGCCUCACACAGAAGUUAAUCCAGUACUGCCACUCUAAAGGCAUUAUGGUGACUGCCUGUAGUCCCCUUGGCUCUCCUGACAGCCUCUGGGCCAAGGCUGAGGACCCUUCCCUCCUGGAGGAUCCCAAGAUCAAGGCAAUCAUAGCCAGGUGAUCAUAGCCAGGCGAUCCAGGUUUGGAUCCGGUUCCCCAGGCAGAGGAACUUGAUGGUGAUCCCCAGGUCUGUGAUACCAGAAUGCACUGCUGAGUCACAGACUUUGAACCAAGCAGCCAGGAUAUUACCAUCUUAUUCAGCUACAACAAGAACUGGAGGGUCUGUGCCUUGGUAAGCUGUGCCUCUUAUAAGGAUUACCUCUUCCAUGCAGAGUUUU